GAUGAACGCUGGCGGCGUGCCUAAUACAUGCAAGUCGAGCGAACGGACGAGAAGCUUGCUUCUCUGAUGUUAGCGGCGGACGGGGGAGUAACACGUGGAUAACCUACCUAUAAGACUGGGAUAACUUCGGGAAACCGGAGCUAAUACCGGAUAAUAUUUUGAACCGCAUGGUUCAAACGUGAAAUACGGUCUUGCUGUCACUUAUGGAUGGAUCCGCGCUGCAUUAGCUAGUUGGUAAGGUAACGGCGUACCAAGGCAACGAUGCAUAGCCGACCUGAGAGGGUGAUCGGCCACACUGGAACUGAGACACGGUCCAGACACCUACGGGAGGCAGCAGUAGGGAAUCUUCCGCAAUGGGCGAAAGGCUGACGGAGCAACGCCGCGUGAGUGCUGAAGGUCUUCGGAUCGGAAAACUAUGUUAUUAGGGAAGAACAUAUGUGUAAGUAACUGUGCACAUCUUGACGGUACCUAAUCAGAAAGCCACGGCUAACUACGUG
RNAcentral lists this ribosomal RNA (497 nucleotides) under uncultured bacterium. RNAcentral describes it as "partial 16S ribosomal RNA". It matches the Rfam family "Bacterial small subunit ribosomal RNA", at positions 28 to 507 of the family's 1533-position model. The record is from RNAcentral.